RNAcentral lists this transfer RNA (82 nucleotides) under Candidatus Pacearchaeota archaeon. RNAcentral's name for it is "tRNA-Leu". It matches the Rfam family "tRNA". From Rfam's summary of the family: Transfer RNA (tRNA) molecules are approximately 80 nucleotides in length. Their secondary structure includes four short double-helical elements and three loops (D, anti-codon, and T loops). The record is from RNAcentral. Lineage: Archaea; Nanobdellati.
GCGGCGGUGGCGGAAUUGGCAGACGCGCAGGACUUAGAAUCCUGUUCUGAAAAGAGUGGGGGUUCAAGUCCCUCCCGCCGCA